CAGUAGCCACGGUAAUACGGAGGGGGCCAGCGUUGUUCGGAAUUACUGGGCGUAAAGCGCACGUAGGCAGACAUUUAAGUCAAGGGUGAAAUCCCAGAGCUCAGCUCUGGAACUGCCUUUGAUACUGGGUGUCUGGAGUAUGGAAGAGGUAAGUGGAAUUCCGAGUGUAGAGGUGAAAUGCGUAGAUAUCGGAAGGAACACCUGUGGCGAAAGCGGCUCACUGGACCAUAACUGACGCUGAGGCGCGAAAGCUAGGGGAGCAAACAGGAUUAGAUACCCCUGUAGUCCCUGUCUCUUAUAC
RNAcentral lists this ribosomal RNA (301 nucleotides) under uncultured bacterium. RNAcentral describes it as "partial 16S ribosomal RNA". It matches the Rfam family "Bacterial small subunit ribosomal RNA", at positions 509 to 807 of the family's 1533-position model. The record is from RNAcentral.